CCUACGGGGGGCAGCAGUGGGGAAUAUUGGACAAUGGGGGCAACCCUGAUCCAGCCAUGCCGCGUGUGUGAAGAAGGCCCUCGGGUUGUAAAGCACUUUCAGUGAGGAAGAACGCCUGGUGGUUAAUACCCAUCAGGAAAGACAUCACUCACAGAAGAAGCACCGGCUAACUCCGUGCCAGCAGCCGCGGUAAUACGGAGGGUGCGAGCGUUAAUCGGAAUUACUGGGCGUAAAGCGCGCGUAGGUGGCUUGAUAAGCCGGUUGUGAAAGCCCCGGGCUCAACCUGGGAACGGCAUCCGGACUGUCGAGGUAGCGUGCACGAGGGGACGGUACACAUCCAGGUGGAGCGGUGCAAUGCGUAGAGGACGGGAGGAAUAGGAGUGGCGAAGGCGGCCUGAUGGGCGGACGAUGACAUUGAGGUGCGAAGGCGUGGGUCGCAAAACGGACGCGCUAACGUGGGGGUC
This 464-nucleotide ribosomal RNA is filed under the name Vreelandella stevensii. RNAcentral describes it as "partial 16S ribosomal RNA". It matches the Rfam family "Bacterial small subunit ribosomal RNA", at positions 338 to 795 of the family's 1533-position model. The record is from RNAcentral. Lineage: Bacteria; Pseudomonadati; Pseudomonadota; Gammaproteobacteria; Oceanospirillales; Halomonadaceae.